RNAcentral lists this non-coding RNA (267 nucleotides) under Acetobacterium woodii. RNAcentral describes it as "T-box sequence". It matches the Rfam family "T-box leader". From Rfam's summary of the family: Uncharged tRNA acts as the effector for transcription antitermination of genes in the T-box leader family. T-boxes are found upstream of many aminoacyl-tRNA synthetase genes and some amino acid biosynthetic genes usually in Gram-positive bacteria. The record is from RNAcentral. Lineage: Bacteria; Bacillati; Bacillota; Clostridia; Eubacteriales; Eubacteriaceae.
AAUAAACUUUUGACUGAAAAUAGUAACUAUUCGAAAGAUGCUUCAGUGAGUUGCAGAGAGUGUGAAUGCAACAGUAAUCGCAAUAGUGAAUGGAUUCAUGAGGGUGAAAAGAAAAGCUUGUUAAGCUGAGUAAUGUUCAACGGGGGUUCUGUCCGUUAUCAAAGGAAAGCGUAUGUUUGUACGUUUAAAGUGGAUGUAACAGCUAUUUAUGGGCUUGACGACAUCAAUUUAGGUGGUACCGCAGAGAUUUUUACUUCUGUCCUAUUU